This 45-nucleotide non-coding RNA is filed under the name Schistosoma mansoni. Lineage: Eukaryota; Metazoa; Platyhelminthes; Trematoda; Strigeidida; Schistosomatidae. The record is from RNAcentral.
AUCCAACCGACGAGUCCUAAAUAGGACGAAACACGCGUCCUGGAU